ACGGGUGCGUAACGCGUGGGAAUCUGCCUUGGGGUUCGGAAUAACUCCCCGAAAGGGGUGCUAAUACCGGAUGAUGUCGAAAGACCAAAGAUUUAUCGCCCUGAGAUGAGCCCGCGUAAGAUUAGCUAGUUGGUGGGGUAAAGGCCUACCAAGGCGACGAUCUUUAGCUGGUCUGAGAGGAUGAUCAGCCACACUGGGACUGAGACACGGCCCAGACUCCUACGGGAGGCAGCAGUGGGGAAUAUUGGACAAUGGGCGAAAGCCUGAUCCAGCAAUGCCGCGUGAGUGAUGAAGGCCUUAGGGUUGUAAAGCUCUUUUACCCGGGAUGAUAAUGACAGUACCGGGAGAAUAAGCCCCGGCUAACUCCGUGCCAGCAGCCGCGGUAAUACGGAGGGGGCUAGCGUUAUUCGGAAUUACUGGGCGUAAAGCGCACGUAGGCGGCUUUGUAAGUCAGAGGUGAAAGCCUGGAGCUCAACUCCAGAACUGCCUUUGAGACUGCAUCGCUUGAAUCCAGGAGAGGUGAGUGGAAUUCCGAGUGUAGAGGUGAAAUUCGUAGA
This 557-nucleotide ribosomal RNA is filed under the name Sphingomonas sp. HRRK017. Its description in RNAcentral is "bacterial SSU rRNA". It matches the Rfam family "Bacterial small subunit ribosomal RNA", at positions 102 to 694 of the family's 1533-position model. Lineage: Bacteria; Pseudomonadati; Pseudomonadota; Alphaproteobacteria; Sphingomonadales; Sphingomonadaceae. The record is from RNAcentral. RNAcentral also lists the same sequence under 3 other names.